GAUGAAGAACGUAGCGAAAUGCGAUAAGUAAUGUGAAUUGCAGAAUUCAGUGAAUCAUCGAAUCUUUGAACGCACAUUGCGCCCGUCAGUAUUCUGGCGGGCAUGCCUGUUCGAGCGUCAUUACGCCCCUCAAGUCCCCUGUGGACUUGGUGUUGGGGAUCGGCGAGGCUGGUUUUCCAGCACAGCCGUCCCUUAAAUUAAUUGGCGGUCUCGCCGUGGCCCUCCUCUGCGCAGUAGUAAAACACUCGCAACAGGAGCCCGGCGCGGUCCACUGCCGUAAAACACCCAACUCUUCUGAAGUUGACCUCGAAUCAGGUAGGAAUACCCGCUGAACUUAAGCAUAUCAAUAAGCGGAGGA
Molecule: unclassified non-coding RNA, 358 nt
Filed under: soil metagenome
Description: partial contains 5.8S ribosomal RNA, internal transcribed spacer 2, and large subunit ribosomal RNA
Rfam family: 5.8S ribosomal RNA (bases 1-120)
Source: RNAcentral